AGUAACCAUGGGUUACCGAAGGACGCUAACCACCAACUUAGCGCGCACACACACACACACACACAUUUCUGUGUAUUUCCUUUUAGGUUUAGUGUAUGUGUGGAGGAAAGCGUCGCAGUUCCUCUUUCUAAUUUUUACUUUCUUACUUGAAGAAAGAUCACUGCAAAAUGUAUGUUGAACUGUUGAGAAAUAUGUCUAUCUAACUGACAGCAGUAGAAUUAUUUGAAAAUAUAAUACCUAUAUAUCACUACAUUUAGUUCAAAACUCAUUUUUACGAAUGCAAAUGUAUAUAUGAAUCUACGAAUACAUAUAUAAUAUCGAUAUAUUUACAUAUAGAAAUAAACGUACAUGAAUAUCUAUUAAGCAAGAAGUGGCAAAGAAAUAAACGAUGCCAACAGAUGAAAGAUUCGCCACGAAGGAUUUAAUAGAUGUUGGAGCUCUUUCUACACAUCGCAUCCAACCGAAAAUGUCACGAUUCAAGGCACAUUCCAGUAUCGGAGUGAAGCCAAAUAUUUUUGGCAAGUUCAACAUUGUUACCGUACCAAGUACUAAUAUCUCAAAUUGCAAGAAAACAUAUUCGAAUUUCUUCAGAAGUUCAGUGACUGAUGAACCAUUUUCUCAGAAGAUAAAACUUGUGAACAGACGUGAAAAGAAUUUCGAAAAGCGUUCGUCAAUAGUUAAACAGCCAAAGACUUAUGAAACAUGUAUGGAUAAUGUACGGAGAGAUAAUGUCUCAAAACAACAGAAGAAGAUAAAACACGAACUAAGACGAGAGAAAUUGCAUCAUAAACAAAAAGAUGAAGAAACGAAAAAUAAACAUCAAGAAAUAGACAUAUUUGCUCAUUUGUCUCACUUUCUACUUUGGGAAAUACUUGGAGAGAUACUAUCUUUAAACAAAAGAAGAUGAAACAUGAAUUAAGACGGGAGAAGUUACUUCAAAAACAAAAAGAUGAAGAAAUGAAAAAUAAACAACGCCAUGAGAUAUAUGCUCUCAACAAUCUAAUGAAGAAACUAGAACACACCCACUUUAAGCAGUUCUGCGACUCAGUCGGUAUCAAGCAUAGAGAUAAUACUGAAACAAAUACAGCCACAUUUA
This 1096-nucleotide unclassified non-coding RNA is filed under the name Octopus sinensis (East Asian common octopus). Its description in RNAcentral is "uncharacterized LOC115228492, transcript variant X2". Lineage: Eukaryota; Metazoa; Mollusca; Cephalopoda; Octopoda; Octopodidae. The record is from RNAcentral.